Molecule: ribosomal RNA, 372 nt
Filed under: uncultured prokaryote
Description: bacterial SSU rRNA
Rfam family: Bacterial small subunit ribosomal RNA
Source: RNAcentral
UACGAAGGGGGCUAGCGUUGUUCGGAAUUACUGGGCGUAAAGCGCGCGUAGGCGGUGAUCUUUGUCAGAGGUGAAAGCCCGGGGCUCAACUCCGGAAUUGCCUUUGAAACGGGAUCGCUAGAGUCCGAGAGAGGAUGGCGGAAUUCCUAGUGUAGAGGUGAAAUUCGUAGAUAUUAGGAAGAACACCGGUGGCGAAGGCGGCCAUCUGGCUCGGUACUGACGCUCAGGCGCGAAAGCGUGGGGAGCAAACAGGAUUAGAUACCCUGGUAGUCCACGCCGUAAACGAUGGGUGCUAGUUGUUAGGAAGUUUACUUCUUAGUGACGCAGCUAACGCGUUAAGCACCCCGCCUGGGGAGUACGGUCGCAAGAUUA